UUGCUGAGGAAUUUUGAAUUGGAGCUGGUGUCUCCUUUUCCUGAGAUUGACUGGAAUGCAAUGGUCGUAGGUGUGAAAGGAAAGGUAAUGGUGCGUUACAAGCGCCGGGAGCUUUCAGUUAACUAGUGGGAACAACAUUGUGGAUGUUUUGCAGAUAUUAUGCACGCUAGGGCUUGAUCGUGCUUUGAUUUUAUAUUUUUUAUACAUUUCUAGGAGGUGCUUUGCUCUAUUAAAUGGAUUGUGAAAUUGUGGCCUUAUUUAAGUUUCCAUAGACUUACGGUAAUUGUAGCUUGUGACGCUUAGGUUUUGUUUGAAUUGUGAGGAUUGAGGAUCAAAACUUGGAGUUCUGUUCUAAACUUGUUAACGAUGCAAUUUGGUCUAGCUUUUGUAAGCUUGAAGAAUACAGGUUGAAGAAUACAGAAAACUAGUGCAAGUGCCUUAAUAUAUUGUCUAGUCUUUAGUACUUGCAUAUUCUUGACGGG
RNAcentral lists this unclassified non-coding RNA (482 nucleotides) under Hevea brasiliensis (rubber tree). The record is from RNAcentral. Lineage: Eukaryota; Viridiplantae; Streptophyta; Magnoliopsida; Malpighiales; Euphorbiaceae.